AACGAACGCUGGCGGCAUGCCUAACACAUGCAAGUCGAACGAGAACUUCGGGUCUAGGGGCGCACGGGUGCGUAACGCGGGGGAACCUGCCCUUAGGUUCGGAAUAACUCCCCGAAAGGGGUGCUAAUACCGGAUAAUGUCUUAGGACCAAAGAUUUAUCGCCUUUGGAUGGGGCCGCGUUGGAUUAGCUAGUUGGUAGGGUAAAAGCCUACCAAGGCGACGAUCCAUAGCUGGUCUGAGAGGAUGAUCAGCCACACUGGGACUGAGACACGGCCCAGACUCCUACGGGAGGCAGCAGUGGGGAAUAUUGGACAAUGGGCGAAAGCCUGAUCCAGCAAUGCCGCGUGAGUGAUGAAGGCCUUAGGGUUGUAAAGCUCUUUUACCCGAGAUGAUAAUGACAGUACCGGGAGAAUAAGCUCCGGCUAACUCCGUG
RNAcentral lists this ribosomal RNA (433 nucleotides) under uncultured bacterium. Its description in RNAcentral is "partial 16S ribosomal RNA". It matches the Rfam family "Bacterial small subunit ribosomal RNA", at positions 29 to 507 of the family's 1533-position model. The record is from RNAcentral.